Molecule: ribosomal RNA, 303 nt
Filed under: uncultured bacterium
Lineage: Bacteria
Description: partial 16S ribosomal RNA
Rfam family: Bacterial small subunit ribosomal RNA
Source: RNAcentral
AGCAGCCGCCGCGGGAAUACGUAGGUGGCAAGCGUUGUCCGGAAUUAUUGGGCGUAAAGCGCGCGCAGGUGGUUUAAUAAGUCUGAUGUGAAAGCCCACGGCUCAGCCGUGGAGGGUCAUUGGAAACUGUUAAACUUGAGUGCAGGAGAGAAAAGUGGAAUUCCUAGUGUAGCGGUGAAAUGCGUAGAGAUUAGGAGGAACACCAGUGGCGAAGGCGGCUUUUUGGCCUGCAACUGACACUGAGGCGCGAAAGCGUGGGGAGCAAACAGGAUUAGAUACCCCAGUAGUCCCUGUCUCUUAUAC